RNAcentral lists this ribosomal RNA (267 nucleotides) under uncultured Burkholderiales bacterium. RNAcentral's name for it is "partial 16S ribosomal RNA". It matches the Rfam family "Bacterial small subunit ribosomal RNA", at positions 505 to 771 of the family's 1533-position model. Lineage: Bacteria; Pseudomonadati; Pseudomonadota; Betaproteobacteria; Burkholderiales. The record is from RNAcentral.
GUGCCAGCAGCCGCGGUAAUACGUAGGGUGCAAGCGUUAAUCGGAAUUACUGGGCGUAAAGCGUGCGCAGGCGGUGAUGUAAGACAGAUGUGAAAUCCCCGGGCUCAACCUGGGAACUGCAUUUGUGACUGCAUCGCUGGAGUGCGGCAGAGGGGGAUGGAAUUCCGCGUGUAGCAGUGAAAUGCGUAGAUAUGCGGAGGAACACCGAUGGCGAAGGCAAUCCCCUGGGCCUGCACUGACGCUCAUGCACGAAAGCGUGGGGAGCAA